CGGACGGGUGAGUAACGCGUGGAUAACCUGCCUCACACAGGGGGAUAACAGUUAGAAAUGACUGCUAAUACCGCAUAAGCGCACGGUACCGCAUGGUACAGUGUGAAAAACUCCGGUGGUGUGAGAUGGAUCCGCGUCUGAUUAGGUAGUUGGUGAGGUAACGGCCCACCGAGCCGACGAUCAGUAGCCGACCUGAGAGGGUGACCGGCCACAUUGGGACUGAGACACGGCCCAA
This 235-nucleotide ribosomal RNA is filed under the name uncultured bacterium. RNAcentral's name for it is "partial 16S ribosomal RNA". It matches the Rfam family "Bacterial small subunit ribosomal RNA", at positions 99 to 334 of the family's 1533-position model. The record is from RNAcentral.